This 413-nucleotide ribosomal RNA is filed under the name Saitozyma flava. RNAcentral's name for it is "partial 28S ribosomal RNA". It matches the Rfam family "Eukaryotic large subunit ribosomal RNA", at positions 101 to 520 of the family's 3401-position model. The record is from RNAcentral. Lineage: Eukaryota; Fungi; Basidiomycota; Tremellomycetes; Tremellales; Trimorphomycetaceae.
GGAAGAGCUCAAAUUUGUAAUCUGGCGUCCUCAGGGCGUCCGAGUUGUAAUCUAUAGAGACGUUUUCCGUGCCGGACCGUGUCCAAGUCCCUUGGAACAGGGUAUCAAAGAGGGUGACAAUCCCGUACUUGACACGACGACCGGUGCUCUGUGAUACGUUUUCUACGAGUCGAGUUGUUUGGGAAUGCAGCUCAAAAUGGGUGGUAAAUUCCAUCUAAAGCUAAAUAUAGGCGAGAGACCGAUAGCGAACAAGUACCGUGAGGGAAAGAUGAAAAGCACUUUGGAAAGAGAGUUAAACAGUAUGUGAAAUUGUUGAAAGGGAAACGAUUGAAGUCAGUCAUGUCCAUUGGAUUCAGCUGGUUCUGCCAGUGUAUUUCCUUUGGACGGGUCAACAUCAGUUUGAGCCGGCGGAU